This 379-nucleotide unclassified non-coding RNA is filed under the name uncultured Thermoleophilia bacterium. Its description in RNAcentral is "contains 16S-23S intergenic spacer region". The record is from RNAcentral. Lineage: Bacteria; Bacillati; Actinomycetota; Thermoleophilia.
UCCCCGAUUUCCGGGGCAGUCUCCUUAGAGUUCCCGGCGUUACCCGCUGGCAACUAAGGAUAGGGGUUGCGCUCGUUGCGGGACUCAACCCAACAUCUCACGGCACGAGCUGACGACAGCCAUGCACCACCUGUGAAAGUGUCCCGAAGGAAAGCCGUGUUUCCACGGCGGUCACUUACAUGUCAAGCCCAGGUAAGGUUCUUCGCGUUGCGUCGAAUUAAACCACAUGCUCCGCUGCUUGUGCGGGCCCCCGUCAAUUCCUUUGAGUUUUAGCCUUGCGGCCGUACUCCCCAGGCGGGGCACUUAGUGCGUUAGCUGCGGCACGGAAGGAGUCGAUGACCUCCCACACCUAGCGCCCAUCGUUUACGGCGUGGACUAC